RNAcentral lists this ribosomal RNA (214 nucleotides) under uncultured bacterium. Its description in RNAcentral is "partial 16S ribosomal RNA". It matches the Rfam family "Bacterial small subunit ribosomal RNA", at positions 28 to 242 of the family's 1533-position model. The record is from RNAcentral.
GACGAACGCUGGCGGCGUGCUUAACACAUGCAAGUCGAGCGGUAAGGCCCUUUCGGGGGUACACGAGCGGCGAACGGGUGAGUAACACGUGGGUGACCUGCCCUCAGCUCUGGGAUAAGCCUGGGAAACCGGGUCUAAUACCGGAUAUGACUCCAUGACGCAUGUUGGUGGGGUGGAAAGCCUUGUGCGGCUGAGGAUGGGCCCGCGGCCUAUC